Molecule: ribosomal RNA, 3120 nt
Filed under: Streptomyces tropicalis
Lineage: Bacteria; Bacillati; Actinomycetota; Actinomycetes; Kitasatosporales; Streptomycetaceae
Description: 23S ribosomal RNA
Rfam family: Bacterial large subunit ribosomal RNA
Source: RNAcentral
GGCCAAGUUUUUAAGGGCGCACGGUGGAUGCCUUGGCACCAGGAACCGAUGAAGGACGUGGGAGGCCACGAUAGUCCCCGGGGAGUCGUCAACCAGGCUUUGAUCCGGGGGUUUCCGAAUGGGGAAACCCGGCAGUCGUCAUGGGCUGUCACCCGCUGCUGAACACAUAGGCAGUGUGGAGGGAACGCGGGGAAGUGAAACAUCUCAGUACCCGCAGGAAGAGAAAACAACCGUGAUUCCGGGAGUAGUGGCGAGCGAAACCGGAUGAGGCUAAACCGUUUACGUGUGAGACCCGGCAGGGGUUGCGUGAGCGGGGUUGUGGGUUCUUUCUUCUGUCGUCUGCCGGCGACAGGACGAGUCAGAAACCGUUGAUGUAGGCGAAGGACAUGCGAAAGGUCCGGCGUAGAGGGUAAGACCCCCGUAGUCGAAACAUCAGCGGCUCGUUUGAUUGAUACCCAAGUAGCACGGGGCCCGAGAAAUCCCGUGUGAAUCUGGCGGGACCACCCGCUAAGCCUAAAUAUUCCCUGGUGACCGAUAGCGGAUAGUACCGUGAGGGAAUGGUGAAAAGUACCCCGGGAGGGGAGUGAAAUAGUACCUGAAACCGUGUGCCUACAAGCCGUGGGAGCGUCGGAUGCAGCUUGCUGCAUCUCGUGACUGCGUGCCUUUUGAAGAAUGAGCCUGCGAGUUUGCGGUGUGUUGCGAGGUUAACCCGAGUGGGGAAGCCGUAGCGAAAGCGAGUCCGAACAGGGCGAUUCAGUAGCGCGCUCAAGACCCGAAGCGGAGUGAUCUAGCCAUGGGCAGGUUGAAGCGGAGGUAAGACUUCGUGGAGGACCGAACCCACCAGGGUUGAAAACCUGGGGGAUGACCUGUGGUUAGGGGUGAAAGGCCAAUCAAACUCCGUGAUAGCUGGUUCUCCCCGAAAUGCAUUUAGGUGCAGCGUCGUGUGUUUCUUGCCGGAGGUAGAGCACUGGAUAGGCGAUGGGCCCUACCGGGUUACUGACCUUAGCCAAACUCCGAAUGCCGGUAAGUGAGAGCGCGGCAGUGAGACUGUGGGGGAUAAGCUCCAUGGUCGAGAGGGAAACAGCCCAGAGCAUCGACUAAGGCCCCUAAGCGUACGCUAAGUGGGAAAGGAUGUGGAGUCGCACAGACAACCAGGAGGUUGGCUUAGAAGCAGCCACCCUUGAAAGAGUGCGUAAUAGCUCACUGGUCUAGUGAUUCCGCGCCGACAAUGUAGCGGGGCUCAAGCGUACCGCCGAAGUCGUGUCAUUGCAGCAUGUACGGCCAACGCCGGCUGUGAUGGGUAGGGGAGCGUCGUCUGCCGGGUGAAGCGGCACCGGAAGGUAGUCGUGGACGGUUGACGAGUGAGAAUGCAGGCAUGAGUAGCGAUUCACACGUGAGAAACGUGUGCGCCGAUUGACUAAGGGUUCCUGGGUCAAGCUGAUCUGCCCAGGGUAAGUCGGGACCUAAGGCGAGGCCGACAGGCGUAGUCGAUGGAUAACCGGUUGAUAUUCCGGUACCCGCUGUGAAGCGUCAAACAUCGAAUCCAGUGAUGCUAAGCCCGUGAAGCCGCCCUGAUCUCUUCGGAGUUGAGGGGAGUGGUGGAGCCGGUGACCCGAGCUGGUAGUAGGUGAGUGAUGGGGUGACGCAGGAAGGUAGUCCAUCCCGGGCGGUGGUUGUCCCGGGGUAAGGGUGUAGGCCGGUGUGUAGGUAAAUCCGCACACCUUGUGGCUGAGACCUGAUGCCGAGCCGAUUGUGGUGAAGUGGAUGAUCCUAUGCUGUCGAGAAAAGCCUCUAGCGAGUUUCAUGGCGGCCCGUACCCUAAACCGACUCAGGUGGUCAGGUAGAGAAUACCGAGGCGUUCGGGUGAACUAUGGUUAAGGAACUCGGCAAAAUGCCCCCGUAACUUCGGGAGAAGGGGGGCCACAUCCGGUGAGGGAACGUGCUUCCUGAGCUGGGGGUGGCCGCAGAGACCAGCGAGAAGCGACUGUUUACUAAAAACACAGGUCCGUGCGAAGCCGUAAGGCGAUGUAUACGGACUGACGCCUGCCCGGUGCUGGAACGUUAAGGGGACCGGUUAGCUCCAUUUCGGUGGGGCGAAGCUGAGAACUUAAGCGCCAGUAAACGGCGGUGGUAACUAUAACCAUCCUAAGGUAGCGAAAUUCCUUGUCGGGUAAGUUCCGACCUGCACGAAUGGCGUAACGACUUCUCGACUGUCUCAACCAUAGGCCCGGUGAAAUUGCACUACGAGUAAAGAUGCUCGUUUCGCGCAGCAGGACGGAAAGACCCCGGGACCUUUACUACAGUUUGAUAUUGGUGUUCGGUUCGGCUUGUGUAGGAUAGGUGGGAGACUGUGAAGCGGGCACGCCAGUGUUCGUGGAGUCGCCGUUGAAAUACCACUCUGGUCGUGCUGGAUGUCUAACCUGGGUCCGUGAUCCGGAUCAGGGACAGUGUCUGAUGGGUAGUUUAACUGGGGCGGUUGCCUCCUAAAGAGUAACGGAGGCGCCCAAAGGUUCCCUCAGCCUGGUUGGCAAUCAGGUGUUGAGUGUAAGUGCACAAGGGAGCUUGACUGUGAGACCGACGGGUCGAGCAGGGACGAAAGUCGGGACUAGUGAUCCGGCGGUGGCUUGUGGAAGCGCCGUCGCUCAACGGAUAAAAGGUACCCCGGGGAUAACAGGCUGAUCUUCCCCAAGAGUCCAUAUCGACGGGAUGGUUUGGCACCUCGAUGUCGGCUCGUCGCAUCCUGGGGCUGGAGUCGGUCCCAAGGGUUGGGCUGUUCGCCCAUUAAAGCGGUACGCGAGCUGGGUUUAGAACGUCGUGAGACAGUUCGGUCCCUAUCCGCUGUGCGCGUAGGAGUCUUGAGAAGGGCUGUCCCUAGUACGAGAGGACCGGGACGGACGAACCUCUGGUGUGCCAGUUGUCCUGCCAAGGGCAUGGCUGGUUGGCUACGUUCGGGAGGGAUAACCGCUGAAAGCAUCUAAGCGGGAAGCCUGCUUCGAGAUGAGGACUCCCACCCACUUGAUGGGGUAAGGCUCCCAGUAGACGACUGGGUUGAUAGGCCGGAUCUGGAAGCACGGUAACGUGUGGAGGUGACCGGUACUAAUAGGCCGAGGGCUUGUCCUC